GAUUUCCGAAUGGGGAAACCCAGUGUGUUUCGACACACUAUCAUUAACUGAAUCCAUAGGUUAAUGAGGCGAACCGGGGGAACUGAAACAUCUAAGUACCCCGAGGAAAAGAAAUCAACCGAGAUUCCCCCAGUAGCGGCGAGCGAACGGGGAGCAGCCCAGAGCCUGAAUCAGUGUGUGUGUUAGUGGAAGCGUCUGGAAAGGCGCGCGAUACAGGGUGACAGCCCCGUACACAAAAAUGCACAUGCUGUGAGCUCGAUGAGUAGGGCGGGACACGUGGUAUCCUGUCUGAAUAUGGGGGGACCAUCCUCCAAGGCUAAAUACUCCUGACUGACCGAUAGUGAACCAGUACCGUGAGGGAAAGGCGAAAAGAACCCCGGCGAGGGGAGUGAAAAAGAACCUGAAACCGUGUACGUACAAGCAGUGGGAGCACGCUUAGGCGUGUGACUGCGUACCUUUUGUAUAAUGGGUCAGCGACUUAUAUUCUGUAGCAAGGUUAACCGAAUAGGGGAGCCGAAGGGAAACCGAGUCUUAACUGGGCGUUAAGUUGCAGGGUAUAGACCCGAAACCCGGUGAUCUAGCCAUGGGCAGGUUGAAGGUUGGGUAACACUAACUGGAGGACCGAACCGACUAAUGUUGAAAAAUUAGCGGAUGACUUGUGGCUGGGGGUGAAAGGCCAAUCAAACCGGGAGAUAGCUGGUUCUCCCCGAAAGCUAUUUAGGUAGCGCCUCGUGAAUUCAUCUCCGGGGGUAGAGCACUGUUUCGGCAAGGGGGUCAUCCCGACUUACCAACCCGAUGCAAACUGCGAAUACCGGAGAAUGUUAUCACGGGAGACACACGGCGGGUGCUAACGUCCGUCGUGAAGAGGGAAACAACCCAGACCGCCAGCUAAGGUCCCAAAGUCAUGGUUAAGUGGGAAACGAUGUGGGAAGGCCCAGACAGCCAGGAUGUUGGCUUAGAAGCAGCCAUCAUUUAAAGAAAGCGUAAUAGCUCACUGGUCGAGUCGGCCUGCGCGGAAGAUGUAACGGGGCUAAACCAUGCACCGAAGCUGCGGCAGCGACGCUGAUGCGUUGUUGGGUAGGGGAGCGUUCUGUAAGCCUGCGAAGGUGUGCUGUGAGGCAUGCUGGAGGUAUCAGAAGUGCGAAUGCUGACAUAAGUAACGAUAAAGCGGGUGAAAAGCCCGCUCGCCGGAAGACCAAGGGUUCCUGUCCAACGUUAAUCGGGGCAGGGUGAGUCGACCCCUAAGGCGAGGCCGAAAGGCGUAGUCGAUGGGAAACAGGUUAAUAUUCCUGUACUUGGUGUUACUGCGAAGGGGGGACGGAGAAGGCUAUGUUGGCCGGGCGACGGUUGUCCCGGUUUAAGCGUGUAGGCUGGUUUUCCAGGCAAAUCCGGAAAAUCAAGGCUGAGGCGUGAUGACGAGGCACUACGGUGCUGAAGCAACAAAUGCCCUGCUUCCAGGAAAAGCCUCUAAGCAUCAGGUAACAUCAAAUCGUACCCCAAACCGACACAGGUGGUCAGGUAGAGAAUACCAAGGCGCUUGAGAGAACUCGGGUGAAGGAACUAGGCAAAAUGGUGCCGUAACUUCGGGAGAAGGCACGCUGAUAUGUAGGUGAAGUCCCUCGCGGAUGGAGCUGAAAUCAGUCGAAGAUACCAGCUGGCUGCAACUGUUUAUUAAAAACACAGCACUGUGCAAACACGAAAGUGGACGUAUACGGUGUGACGCCUGCCCGGUGCCGGAAGGUUAAUUGAUGGGGUUAGCGCAAGCGAAGCUCUUGAUCGAAGCCCCGGUAAACGGCGGCCGUAACUAUAACGGUCCUAAGGUAGCGAAAUUCCUUGUCGGGUAAGUUCCGACCUGCACGAAUGGCGUAAUGAUGGCCAGGCUGUCUCCACCCGAGACUCAGUGAAAUUGAACUCGCUGUGAAGAUGCAGUGUACCCGCGGCAAGACGGAAAGACCCCGUGAACCUUUACUAUAGCUUGACACUGAACAUUGAGCCUUGAUGUGUAGGAUAGGUGGGAGGCUUAGAAGUGUGGACGCCAGUCUGCAUGGAGCCGACCUUGAAAUACCACCCUUUAAUGUUUGAUGUUCUAACGUUGACCCGUAAUCCGGGUUGCGGACAGUGUCUGGUGGGUAGUUUGACUGGGGCGGUCUCCUCCUAAAGAGUAACGGAGGAGCACGAAGGUUGGCUAAUCCUGGUCGGACAUCAGGAGGUUAGUGCAAUGGCAUAAGCCAGCUUGACUGCGAGCGUGACGGCGCGAGCAGGUGCGAAAGCAGGUCAUAGUGAUCCGGUGGUUCUGAAUGGAAGGGCCAUCGCUCAACGGAUAAAAGGUACUCCGGGGAUAACAGGCUGAUACCGCCCAAGAGUUCAUAUCGACGGCGGUGUUUGGCACCUCGAUGUCGGCUCAUCACAUCCUGGGGCUGAAGUAGGUCCCAAGGGUAUGGCUGUUCGCCAUUUAAAGUGGUACGCGAGCUGGGUUUAGAACGUCGUGAGACAGUUCGGUCCCUAUCUGCCGUGGGCGCUGGAGAACUGAGGGGGGCUGCUCCUAGUACGAGAGGACCGGAGUGGACGCAUCACUGGUGUUCGGGUUGUCAUGCCAAUGGCACUGCCCGGUAGCUAAAUGCGGAAGAGAUAAGUGCUGAAAGCAUCUAAGCACGAAACUUGCCCCGAGAUGAGUUCUCCCUGACCCUUUAAGGGUCCUGAAGGAACGUUGAAGACGACGACGUUGAUAGGCCGGGUGUGUAAGCGCAGCGAUGCGUUGAGCUAACCGGUACUAAUGAACCGUGAGGCUUAACCUU
RNAcentral lists this ribosomal RNA (2795 nucleotides) under Escherichia coli 4-203-08_S3_C1. Its description in RNAcentral is "bacterial LSU rRNA". It matches the Rfam family "Bacterial large subunit ribosomal RNA". Lineage: Bacteria; Pseudomonadati; Pseudomonadota; Gammaproteobacteria; Enterobacterales; Enterobacteriaceae. The record is from RNAcentral.